This 57-nucleotide transfer RNA is filed under the name Eurytrema pancreaticum. Its description in RNAcentral is "tRNA-Ser". Lineage: Eukaryota; Metazoa; Platyhelminthes; Trematoda; Plagiorchiida; Dicrocoeliidae. The record is from RNAcentral.
GAGGGUUUUAAGCUAUCGCUGCUAACGAUUGGCUUGGAAUUAUUUUUCCGACCUUCU